Molecule: ribosomal RNA, 301 nt
Filed under: uncultured bacterium
Lineage: Bacteria
Description: partial 16S ribosomal RNA
Rfam family: Bacterial small subunit ribosomal RNA
Source: RNAcentral
CAGCAGCGCGGUAAUACGUAGGGUGCAAGCGUUAAUCGGAAUUACUGGGCGUAAAGCGUGCGCAGGCGGUUAUAUAAGACAGAUGUGAAAUCCCCGGGCUCAACCUGGGAACUGCAUUUGUGACUGUAUAGCUAGAGUACGGCAGAGGGGGAUGGAAUUCCGCGUGUAGCAGUGAAAUGCGUAGAUAUGCGGAGGAACACCGAUGGCGAAGGCAAUCCCCUGGGCCUGUACUGACGCUCAUGCACGAAAGCGUGGGGAGCAAACAGGAUUAGAUACCCCCGUAGUCCCUGUCUCUUAUACA